Molecule: long non-coding RNA, 749 nt
Organism: Xiphophorus hellerii (green swordtail)
Lineage: Eukaryota; Metazoa; Chordata; Actinopteri; Cyprinodontiformes; Poeciliidae
Exons: 2
Source: RefSeq, a predicted model, not a curated record
AGGAUGCUAUAUAACAAGCCCAGAUCAGUUAGGCUGCAGCUUCAGAGACUUUCCACCACUGAAGAUCUUCUGCAGUCCGUGCCAAGUCUACCAACAGAGUCAGCUGAAAGGGAAAAAUAACAUCCGUAAUCAUGAAGAUCCAGGUUGCCGGCUUCCUGCUGAUGCUGCUCUCUGCUGUCGAGCUCUCCGAAGGGCAGCAUCCGAUUGAGAAGAACGUCAUCGGCAACAUGAACAAAGGGCAAUGUAACGAUGUCAUGAACGAAAGAUUCAAUAGUGAAGGGGGUUGCAAGCAUGCAGAAACCUUCAUUGUAGCGUCUCUCGAAGAUGUGAAUGCUCUCUGUCAAAAGGUGAACGGGAUCAUGCCAGGUUUUAGCAAGGAAAUAUUUAAAGUUGUUGACUGUACGAAAGUUAAAGAUUGUGUCUAUAAUGGUGAUGACAGACAUACAAAAACUCAACUUAAACUUGAAUGUAAAGAUAAUCAAGCUGUGCGCUAUGUAGGCGCUAAGAGGCUGAAUUAAAAAAAAGAUGCAUUGCUUAUUUCCUGCCAUUAAUUUAAAAAAUGAAGCUAAUGUUUUUCCUGGUUCAAUGUUAAUCUGAUUCUGUAUACAUGAUCCUAAAUAUACGGUAACAUUUUUAUCUGAACCUCCAGAUAGCUUCUACUGCAGCAGCUUAUUAAUGUUACCAUCUUAUGUUUUGGCUUCUUCAAUGUUACCGUUUUAUCCCAAAUAAACCUAUUGCAUGAUCUGAAA